UGGUUAUGAAACAAUUGACUGUGUCGGUAUGCAGCCGAUUGUGGAGCCAGACCUUGGGUUAUGCGAUAACCUCAAACCGAAUAGGUUCUUCAGAACUGAAAGAAAACGCUUUUA
Molecule: non-coding RNA, 114 nt
Filed under: Dorea sp. 5-2
Lineage: Bacteria; Bacillati; Bacillota; Clostridia; Lachnospirales; Lachnospiraceae
Description: drum RNA
Rfam family: drum RNA
About the family: Firmicutes, Bacteroidetes (1 example), Proteobacteria (2 examples), Spirochaetes (2 examples). Terminator (Clostridia)
Source: Rfam by way of RNAcentral